AUCUACCGGUAGUCUGCGUUGUGCGCUCACUGUAUGCGUUGUGUGUACGACUAUUGCGGUUAGUGCGUACUCUUGUGUGUGCUAGUGCGAUUUUCAUAAUUUUCUGUGCUUUGGAUAUUUUUUGUGUAAUUAAAAAUUACGUUGUGUAUGAGUGCGCGAGUUUAAGUUUUUUAAUUAAACGCUUAAGUUUUGCUGUUGCCAGGAGUGACGCGCAGAAACCCCCUAAGAUGGGGUCCUGCAAAUAUUUCAUUCUUUUAGCUUUGGCUCUCACAUCUUCAUCGAAGGAAGAUGAUUUUGAAAACGUAUUGCUGUUGGUUUGCAAUGUAACUAUCGUAUUCAAAAUAGUAAACGCUGUACUUUUGACCGACAGGAAGUUUCAGUUUUUACAUGCAUAUAGUAUACACUAGUAUAAUGAAUGGGGUGAGCGUGUGAGUCAUGAACCUCAUCGACCGAAUGGGGGCGUUCUGUUCUGAUGCACAUCAUACGGAAGAUAUCUGAGAAUUCCUGUACACCCUUGAAUAAAAUUAAAUAUAGACACAAAUCCCUUUAAAAUAUCACUAGAAAAUAGUAUCAUGUCUAUUAAUGUUUGUGUUGCAUUAAUUGUAUAAAAAUAAUUUAUAAUGAAUAAAAACUAUUUGUUAGUGCUUAUUUAAUUAUUUGUUUCUAAAUAUAUAAUCAAGAAAAAAUUAUU
Molecule: long non-coding RNA, 691 nt
Organism: Daktulosphaira vitifoliae (grape phylloxera)
Lineage: Eukaryota; Metazoa; Arthropoda; Insecta; Hemiptera; Phylloxeridae
Exons: 3
Source: RefSeq, a predicted model, not a curated record